Molecule: long non-coding RNA, 501 nt
Filed under: Cercocebus atys (sooty mangabey)
Lineage: Eukaryota; Metazoa; Chordata; Mammalia; Primates; Cercopithecidae
Description: lncRNA (ENSCATG00000045747.1)
Source: RNAcentral
CCUUACAGGAAAUGCCCAGCGGAACUCCAUGGAGUCCCUCGAGUCGUCUUUGCACUGCUGAGCCAGGUAUUAGAGGACCCACAGUGCACUUCUGAGCCUCAUUUCUGUCUCUCUCACCUACCACAAACUCUGGACAAUCAGCUCGCACAUUUGUUCCUUUAUUCCCAAGGAGAACAUGAGGAAAAGACGUAGAUAUCACCCAAAUGUGUCAUUUACCAGCCUCCUUGUGGGAGUCCAGUACCCCAACCCCAUCUUGAGAGAUGCUGCUGUUCCAACCUCAGGAUCUCCUAAUGGAGUCAAGAGCUUCUCCCCUCACCAGAGUAAGAAGUCUGGCCACCAAGCUUGUGAAACUUUGUGUCUGACAUCUCUAUCCAUGGAAAUAAGUCAACUGGAUUCUUCAAGCUCAAGUUCCAACACCACAGGAAAGAACUCUCAAUAUAAACCAAGUAACUGUGGCCCAAAAAGAGAGAUCAGAGAAGAAAGUGACAGCUUCUAGGGAGC